AAGUCGUAACAAGGUUUCCGUAGGUGAACCUGCGGAAGGAUCAUUAACGGAUGUAUGAAAGCACUGGCUUCCGGCCAGCACUGCCUCAAUUAGGGCAGCACUGCCUCAAUCAAGGCAGCGGAGGUAGGACCGCGGUCCUACGGCAACGCGUCUGUCUGUUCGGUCGACUGAUGUGCGCAACACUGACAACUUUUAACAAUGGAUCUCUUGGCUCUU
This is an unclassified non-coding RNA of 216 nucleotides. The stretch from base 1 to 46 matches the Rfam family "Eukaryotic small subunit ribosomal RNA", at positions 1786 to 1831 of the family's 1831-position model.